UGCAAGUCGAGCGCGGGAAGCGAGUGGAUCCCUUCGGGGUGAAGCUCGUGGAACGAGCGGCGGACGGGUGAGUAACACGUGGGCAACCUGCCUGUAAGAUCGGAAUAACCCCGGGAAACCGGGGCUAAUGCCGGGUAAUACUUUCUUUCGCAUGAAGGAAAGUUGAAAGAUGGCUUCUUGCUAUCACUUACAGAUGGGCCCGCGGCGCAUUAGCUAGUUGGUGAGGUAACGGCUCACCAAGGCGACGAUGCGUAGCCGACCUGAGAGGGUGAUCGGCCACACUGGGACUGAGACACGGCCCAGACUCCUACGGGAGGCAGCAGUAGGGAAUCUUCCGCAAUGGACGAAAGUCUGACGGAGCAACGCCGCGUGAACGAUGAAGGUCUUCGGAUCGUAAAGUUCUGUUGUUAGGGAAGAACAAGUACCGUGCGAAUAGAGCGGUACCUUGACGGUACCUAACGAGGAAGCCCCGGCUAACUACGUGCCAGCAGCCGCGGUAAUACGUAGGGGGCAAGCGUUGUCCGGAAUUAUUGGGCGUAAAGCGCGCGCAGGCGGUUCCUUAAGUCUGAUGUGAAAGCCCACGGCUCAACCGUGGAGGGUCAUUGGAAACUGGGGAACUUGAGGACAGAAGAGGAGAGUGGAAUUCCACGUGUAGCGGUGAAAUGCGUAGAUAUGUGGAGGAACACCAGUGGCGAAGGCGACUCUCUGGUCUGUUUCUGACGCUGAGGUGCGAAAGCGUGGGUAGCAAACAGGAUUAGAUACCCUGGUAGUCCACGCCGUAAACGAUGAGUGCUAGGUGUUAGGGGGCUUCCACCCCUUAGUGCUGAAGUUAACGCAUUAAGCACUCCGCCUGGGGAGUACGGCCGCAAGGCUGAAACUCAAAGGAAUUGACGGGGGCCCGCACAAGCGGUGGAGCAUGUGGUUUAAUUCGAAGCAACGCGAAGAACCUUACCAGGUCUUGACAUCCUUGGACAUCCCUAGAGAUAGGGCUUUCCCUUCGGGGACCAAGUGACAGGUGGUGCA
RNAcentral lists this ribosomal RNA (1023 nucleotides) under Halobacillus trueperi. RNAcentral's name for it is "bacterial SSU rRNA". It matches the Rfam family "Bacterial small subunit ribosomal RNA", at positions 56 to 1045 of the family's 1533-position model. The record is from RNAcentral. Lineage: Bacteria; Bacillati; Bacillota; Bacilli; Caryophanales; Bacillaceae.